GUGGGGAAUAUUGGACAAUGGGCGAAAGCCUGAUCCAGCCAUGCCGCGUGUGUGAAGAAGGUCUUCGGAUUGUAAAGCACUUUAAGUUGGGAGGAAGGGCAGUAAGUUAAUACCUUGCUGUUUUGACGUUACCGACAGAAUAAGCACCGGCUAACUUCGUGCCAGCAGCCGCGGUAAUACGAGGGGAGCUAGCGUUGUUCGGAAUUACUGGGCGUAAAGCGCGCGUAGGUGGUUUUGUAAGUUGGAGGUGAAAUCCCCGGGCUCAACCUGGAAACUGCCUCCAAAACUGCAUGACUAGAGUACGGUAGAGGGUAGUGGAAUUUCCUGUGUAGCGGUGAAAUGCGUAGAUAUAGGAAGGAACACCAGUGGCGAAGGCGACUACCUGGACUGAUACUGACACUGAGGUGCGAAAGCGUGGGGAGCAAACAGGAUUAGAAACCCGUGUAGUCC
This 450-nucleotide ribosomal RNA is filed under the name uncultured bacterium. Its description in RNAcentral is "partial 16S ribosomal RNA". It matches the Rfam family "Bacterial small subunit ribosomal RNA", at positions 354 to 796 of the family's 1533-position model. The record is from RNAcentral.